AUGUGUCGUAACCUGACUUCGAUCCCAUCCAAAUUCUGGUGGGGAGCAACGAAUGGUGAGGGGAAGGUGCAUUGGAUAUCUUGGGAAAAGAUGUGUGAAGAAAAAAGGGGCAGGGAACUUGGGUUUAGGGACCCGGAAGCGCUUAACCAAGUACUAUAGGCCAAGCAAGCAUGGCUUACUCAUCAGUUUCCAUUGUCUUUGUGCACGAGAGUGUUAAAGGCUCGCUAUUUUCUUGACGGCACAAUUUUGAAUGGUACUUGCCCAGCAGGAUCAUUUACUUUUAGAAGCAUUAUCCAUGGCCGGGAUUUGCUGCGAGAGGGCUCUAUUUGGCGCAUCGGGGAUGGGUUAAGUGUCAACAUUCAUCACAGUAACUGGCUCCCGAGGAGUGGGAGUCUUCGGCAACUGGGCCAAGUUUUUGUUCACGGAGUGACUGAUAACCCACAAGUAUAG
Molecule: ribosomal RNA, 450 nt
Filed under: Triticum aestivum (bread wheat)
Lineage: Eukaryota; Viridiplantae; Streptophyta; Magnoliopsida; Poales; Poaceae
Description: partial small subunit ribosomal RNA
Source: RNAcentral